This is a non-coding RNA of Pantherophis guttatus, 3089 nucleotides long. The record is from RefSeq and is a predicted model, not a curated record. Lineage: Eukaryota; Metazoa; Chordata; Lepidosauria; Squamata; Colubridae.
UUGUGUACUUUAAUCAGCAGCAUGGAAUAAAAUAUUCUCUGGUUUCCCAGUUCUUCAGGGAAGCUUCCAUCUGAGACCUGGAACCUUCAGGUGACAAAAUAAAAUGAAAAUAAAGCAGCAGAUUUCUGUGUGUCCACCAGCUGUCUUACAACAGUGUACAGAGAAGUAUAGACAUUUUAAAAAUAUUUGGGACUUUUGAGCUGGAAAGAUCAUCCAGGGUAGAGGAUCCAAGCAUGUUCUGAAAUGAAUUGUAGCUGGAGAAGGAACCGCUAAGAGGCAUUUCCACAGCUGAGAAGCAGACGGCUUAUGUACACACACCACCUUGGAUCUCCUAAUCAGAAAGGAUGCUCCUACAGCUUGGACUGGUUUCUCCCUGAGAGAGGAGGAGGGAAAAGAAGGGAACACGAAAGUGGGUCAGGAAUGUAACUAGACUCUACCCACCUCCCCACUUGGUUUUAGAGACAGGCGGCGGCACUGCCUUCCGGAUGGAAAGCAGGCCUUAUGCUGCUGCUGUUUCCCACCAACCAGGCUCCCUGAUGGUUACUAAGGGAUACUGAGGGAUGUGUUUCCUUGUGACUUUGGGGGAGGGGGGGAUGACCAAUUUUUUGGAUGCAAUCAAUGUCCUUAGUUGAGUUUUUCUAAACUGAGGAGAGGAAAUCUGCAACAGGCCUUAAGCAAGAUGGAAACGGCAACGUUCUGUUCAGAAGGCCGUAAACCUCAACAUGUGAACAUUCCUUGCAGUUUUUAAUUCCCCCCUCCCUUGAUCUUUUCUGUUCUUGAUGGGUAAAUAGUUUGCCUUGAAAGAAAUACUGUUUUCUGCACCAUGUACAUAAGCUUCAGAGUUGGGCCAACUGGACAACUCUCCAUUUAGGGCCUUAAACGUUAAAAAAAAAACUUGUUAGCAGCUGGACAAUGGCUUCUAGCUUGUGUUUAGCAUUCAUUAUAGUCUCACCAGGGCUCAGGUGUGCCCAUCAGAGAGAAUUUUUAUAGUAGUUUAUACUCUUUUAUAUCUGUCCACAGAACAUUCUUCCAACAACCAAUUGGCUUAUAAAACUGUAGAUGGGCAGAAAUGUUCUUUUUGAAAAGUAGUGGCUUUCUCGUCCUAUUCUUGUGCAUAUUUAUUCAAAAGUAAUACUGACAAUUUUUUGGUUCUUAUUUGCAGCCAUGAAUGCUGAAGAGAGCAGCUUAUAUUUGAAAUCCACUUGCAUAUUUGAGUAUAUUCUCAUUAUGGUUUUCUUCUGCCACUUUGCCUCAAACAAAAAAAAAAUCAAAUAAAUUUUGGUAUCUGACAGGCAGGCAGGCAGAGGCAGCCUGUUUGUAUCUCAGAAGGAUUGACUCUGUCUGCCUGCUUCAGAUUCCAAGACAGACUCUGAGAUGCUUCAAGAUAUAGAUAGAGAUCAUACCUGGCACCUGCACAACAGGUUUGAAGGCAGACACUAGAAGGAUGUGACAGUGGUCCAGAUAAUAGCAUGUGAAUCAUGUACAGUAAAAGAGUUUCUGUUCACAUUAGAAACGGGCAGAUCAUUGUUCUAAAGCUUAAACAGAUGUGUCAUUCUUUUGAAUCUGAAUUUCAUAAACAGCAAGUGGAAGGAAGGAUUAUUUUGCCUCUUUGUUUUUCAGAACUACUUCAACGAACUCCUGCUUAUCAGUCUUGAAAAGAUGUGUUGAAACCAGUUAGACUACUUUUUCAUAACACCCAUCUGGCUAGAGGGCCUUGAGAAAGGAGUUGUGUAACACUGCUGAAGUUCUGAGACCUGAAAUAUUUCAUACGCAAAUGAUGUUCACCCACCAUGAUUCCUUAAAGGUGUUAUUAUUUCUGACUUCUUUUAAAAUAGGUAUUGAUGUUUUUCAAUACUUCUCUCGAAAAGGCAUUUGAUUUGAGUAAGUAAAAACUGUAGACUGAAAUCAUGUUUGAAGGCAGUUUUUCACAUGAAAAGGAUACUUCUGUUUUUAAGAUCCACUGUGAAGUCAUACUUAACCAACUAUUUCAAUUACAACAGUAACCGAAUUCUAUAAUUCACUAAAUUUCAGCCAGAGUGCUAAUGAUGGGUUACAAGCAAUUUGCUGUCAGGAAUAUGCCUGGAUUAGUUUACAGUCUCCUCUCUUCACAUGUUUUCUAUCUUCUUAAUCUAGUCAAGCCUUCCUAAUCUACUCAAGCCACUGUUACCAAUACACUUUGGUUGCCUGCUGUAUGGGAUGAUGGGGAGGCAAAUAUUAGCAUCUGAAAAGCCAGUGCUUGGGGUACAGGAACUAGACAAGUUGCCACCCUGCUUCUUAUCUAAAAUUGAGUCUGGCCUGUUUGUGGUUUGAAGUUCAUCUAUACAAUUUUGUUCUUUUUCACCAGAGCACUGGUGCAAACUACUGCACUCUUUGGAACUGCCUCUCUGUAGGCUCAAUCAGCCUAAGGAUAAUAGAAAGAUAAAUUCCUCAAGCCAGACCUGUAGGUUCUAUUAAUAAUAUUUUUAAAGGUAACUUCCAUUCCCAUAUGCAAGCAGCUUUCUAUUCCCAUAUGCAAGCAGCUUUCUAUUCCCAUAUGCAAGCAGCUUCAACACAGUUGGUAUCCUGAAAACCAAGUGGGAUUCUUGCAAAUAGCCAGGCUGGCCGGCCAUUAUGGCACUCCAAACCCCACCAUUUCAGAAAGGUGUUAGGAUGGAAAAGGUUGUCAUUCCUUCUUGGUGAUGACCCCUCCACCCAUAUGAAAAAGUGAUUCUGAUCAGAGCUGUCUAAGAAGCAUUAACCCUCUUCAUGAAUUGGGAAGCUUAGUGGGAUACAGCUUAGUGGGAAGGAAUGGUACUUUGAUUAAUGAAGUUGGUGGGUAACCUUUGCCAGGCACAAUUUUUCAAGCAAACCAGAUUUUACAUUCCACACAGACCACAUUGCAGUGAAUGGAAAGAGAAAAGCAAUACAAAUGUGAUCAUUAAACAACAUAAAAAUUGGUCAGAAUCGAACUCCUGGCUGUGGGCAGAGUUAGCCUGCAAUGCUGCAUUCUAACCACUACCACUAUGGCUCCUUCUAUUAUUCAUUAUUAUCAAUAGUAAUGUGAUUUUUAGCAAAAGCGACUUCACAAAAUAAAAAUUGGUAUUCUUGAA